This 357-nucleotide ribosomal RNA is filed under the name Cronobacter sakazakii. Its description in RNAcentral is "bacterial SSU rRNA". It matches the Rfam family "Bacterial small subunit ribosomal RNA", at positions 81 to 441 of the family's 1533-position model. Lineage: Bacteria; Pseudomonadati; Pseudomonadota; Gammaproteobacteria; Enterobacterales; Enterobacteriaceae. The record is from RNAcentral.
UGCUCUGCUGACGAGUGGCGGACGGGUGAGUAAUGUCUGGGAAACUGCCUGAUGGAGGGGGAUAACUACUGGAAACGGUAGCUAAUACCGCACAACGUCUACGGACCAGAGUGGGGGACCUUCGGGCCUCAUGCCAUCACAUGUGCCCAAAUGGGAUUAUCUAGUAGGUGGGGUAACGGCUCACCUAGGCGACGAUCCCUAGCUGGUCUGAGAGGAUGACCAGCCACACUGGAACUGAGACACGGUCCAGACUCCUACGGGAGGCGGCAGUGGGGAAUAUUGCACAAUGGGCGCGAGCCUGAUGCAGCCAUGCCGCGUGUAUGAAGAACGCCUUCGGGUUGUAAAGUACUUUCAGCG